Molecule: long non-coding RNA, 370 nt
Organism: Dreissena polymorpha
Lineage: Eukaryota; Metazoa; Mollusca; Bivalvia; Myida; Dreissenidae
Exons: 2
Source: RefSeq, a predicted model, not a curated record
AUGUUUGUAUUUGAUUGUAUGUUAUUGAAAACGGUUGCAAUGCAUUGUUUUCUUUGUAUUUUGUUUGAGGUUUGAACAUGUUAAAUGUUCAAAUCAUAUGAUUUCGCGAAUGUUCAGAAUGGCAGCAAAUUAGUAUAUUCACUUUUAGAUAACAACUUAUACACUCAGUUGAAACACCAUAAUAUCUGUUUGCAUGCUCUAAUUUACAGCACCAGUAGGGUGAGAGAGGAUUGAAGGAAGAGAAAGAGAAAAGGGGACUCAAUUCCACAAAUUGAUCCUUCGAUUGAGAUUCACUCUGGGAUACAAGUUAUUUCUUCUGCAUAAUUUGAUUAUGAACUUCUAACCUUAUUAAAAGAAGUGAACUUGGAAA